AACCCUGUCUUAUACAAUUAUCCUUAAAUAAAACCAUUUCAUUUCUAAACCCGUGAACCCUCUACACCCCUUUCUUACCCGCAAGGAUUAGAUUUACCUUUAUUCUCACUAUCUUUUAAUUAGAGUACCUUUUGCAUCAUGGUUUAGCGAGAAUCUGUGUUAAACCCUAACCCCGAAAGGAACGUGAGCUACUUUAAUUCUGCUGAGAACUUAUUAACCUAAUGUUGCAUCAUUACUUAUAGAAAUCAAAGUAGAAGCUACAUACUUACCGCACUUCCUUAUAGCUGGUUCUCUUCGCCCGGAAUCGAAGUCCCUCUUCCAUUUUUAAAUGGACAACUAUAAUUUUUAGGAUAAGCUAAAAAUUCUAAUCAAUUCUUUAAUCAAGGGUAUUAACUUAUCUACAGGCUUAGAAUCAGCCACAUAGUAUCAUCGCGUUUUAGCCUCAUACUUAUUUUCCCAAAAAUCCUAUAAAGAAUGUUAUAUAUUUGAAGAGCAUUUAAUCCUAACUCAUUUGUUUCUUGAUAAUGCUAAAAUUAGUAUUUCCAUUAUAUUCCACUUGACCAUAAAAUUUAUCACAACCUUAUAAUCCCCAAUAUAUAGUAAAAACGAACUUUGCAAUACAGAAGUCCGCCUGUUUACCAAAAACAUCGUCUUUAGUUGCCUCAUUAAAGAUACAUCCUGCCCAGUGACUUUAUAGUUUAACGGCCGCGGUAUCCUGACCGUGCAAAGGUAGCAUAAUCAUUUGCCUUUUAAUUGAAGGCUAGAAUGAAUGGACAAACGAGAUUUCAGCUGUUUCUUUACUACCCCUAUAACUUAAACUUCAGGUGAAGAUGCCUGAAUUUAAUUGAAAGACAAGAAGACCCUAUAGAGUUUUAAUUCUAUUAUACCCCCUUUAUAUAUUUGAAUUUUGGUUGGGGCGACCAAGGAUACCCCUCAUCAUCCUUUAAAAAUUUGACCAUCAAGUCCUAUUAAUGACCCUUACAGGAUCCACAGAAUCAACUACCUUAGGGAUAACAGGCUUAUCGUCCUAGAGAGCUCCUAUCGAUAGGACGGUUUGGCACCUCGAUGUUGGCUUAGAGUAACUCCUUACCGCAGCAGGUAUACAGAGUUAGUUUGUUCAACUAUUAAUCCUCUACAUGAGCUGAGUUCAGACCGGCGUGAGCCAGGUUAGUUUCUAUCUUCUAUUACUUUUAAUAAGCCUAUUAGUACGAAAGGACCAUAAGGCCUUCGAAAUUAUCGUAUUGACCGUAUUCAACUAAUCUAUUUUAAUUACCAUUUUAUUU
Molecule: ribosomal RNA, 1283 nt
Filed under: Melaenis sp. YZ-2018
Lineage: Eukaryota; Metazoa; Annelida; Polychaeta; Phyllodocida; Polynoidae
Description: 16S ribosomal RNA
Rfam family: Bacterial large subunit ribosomal RNA
Source: RNAcentral